CACGCCCAAAUUCUGUACACACACGUCCUUCUUAAACGUUUGUUCCCACCCAAUGUGUGUCCCGAGCGGCGCGGUAGGGACACACACGUUGACUCACGUUUCCAAGUUUGCUUAAUAGCUUGGGCUUGUUUUUGAGCCCAUGAAAGAAAUUGAGUCCAUAUUCCAUUAUAUAAGCUAAGCAGCAAUUUAGGUUAAAGUGUCUUUUAAUUUUUGUUGAGAGAAAGGAAGCGGCGGCAGCCUAUGAUGUGGAGAAAUGCGUAUUUUCCAACUUGUUGUCUCCCCUUUUGUAGACUUAAUUAGGAGCAUCCAAUAAAUGUGCCGAUGGUCUGGACAUGAGAGGAGUUAGAGAGGAAAAGGAUUUUGUGACUUAACGAUUCUCCUCUGUUAUUGCUUUAUUUGGACAAACUUGGCAUGUAUUAUGAUAGGCACUAUGUGUCUAAUGUUCAGACUGUUUACUUCUUAAUGUUAUAUCGUUUAUAACCACAAAAAAAGAAAAAAAGAAAAAGGAAUAUAUCAACACCAUUGAUCAUGUAGAUCUCUUUUGGCACC
Molecule: long non-coding RNA, 549 nt
Organism: Quercus robur (English oak)
Lineage: Eukaryota; Viridiplantae; Streptophyta; Magnoliopsida; Fagales; Fagaceae
Exons: 2
Source: RefSeq, a predicted model, not a curated record